UGGGGAAUAUUGCACAAUGGACGGAAGUCUGAUGCAGCAACGCCGCGUGCGGGAUGACGGCCUUCGGGUUGUAAACCGCUUUUUCUCAUGACGAAGUUUUUUGACGGUAGUGGGGGAAGAAGCACCGGCUAACUACGUGCCAGCAGCCGCGGUGAUACGUAGGGUGCGAGCGUUGUCCGGAAUUAUUGGGCGUAAAGAGCUUGUAGGCGGUUUGUCGCGUCGAUAGUGCAAACUCAGUGCUUAACGCUGAGCCUGCUGUUGAUACGGGCAGACUCGAGGAAGGUAGGGGAGAAUGGAAUUCCCGGUGGAGCGGUGGACUGCGCAGAUAUCGGGAGGCACACCGGUGGCGAAGGCGGUUCUCUGGGCCUUUCCUGACGCUGAGAAGCGAAAGCGUGGGGAGCGAACAGG
Molecule: ribosomal RNA, 408 nt
Filed under: Fusobacteriota bacterium
Lineage: Bacteria; Fusobacteriati; Fusobacteriota
Description: Fusobacteria bacterium partial 16S ribosomal RNA
Rfam family: Bacterial small subunit ribosomal RNA
Source: RNAcentral